GCAUAUCAAUAAGCGGAGGAAAAGAAACCAACAGGGAUUGCCUCAGUAACGGCGAGUGAAGCGGCAAGAGCUCAAAUUUGAAAGCUGGCCCCCUCGGGGUCCGCAUUGUAAUUUGCAGAGGAUGCUUCGGGAGUGGCCCCCAUCUAAGUGCUCUGGAACGGGCCGUCAUAGAGGGUGAGAAUCCCGUAUGGGAUGGGGUGUCCGCGACCAUGUGAAGCUCCUUCGACGAGUCGAGUUGUUUGGGAAUGCAGCUCUAAAUGGGUGGUAAAUUUCAUCUAAAGCUAAAUAUUGGCCGGAGACCGAUAGCGCACAAGUAGAGUGAUCGAAAGAUGAAAAGCACUUUGAAAAGAGAGUUAAAAAGCACGUGAAAUUGUUGAAAGGGAAGCGCUUGCGACCAGACUCGCCUACGGGGUUCAGCCGGUAUUCGUACCGGUGUACUUCCCCGUGGGCGGGCCAGCGUCGGUUUGGGCGGCCGGUCAAAGGCCCUCGGAAUGUAACGCCUCUCGGGGCGUCUUAUAGCCGAGGGUGCCAUGCGGCCAGCCCGGACCGAGGAACGCGCUUCGGCACGGACGCUGGCAUAAUGGUCGUAAGCGACCCGUCUUGAAACACGGACCAAGGAGUCUAACAUCUACGCGAGUGUUCGGGUGUCAAACCCGUGCGCGCAGUGAAAGCGAACGGAGGUGGGAACCCUCACGGGUGCACCAUCGACCGAUCCUGAUGUCUUCGGAUGGAUUUGAGUAAGAGCGUAGCUGUUGGGACCCGAAAGAUGGUGAACUAUGCCUGAAUAGGGCGAAGCCAGAGGAAACUCUGGUGGAGGCUCGCAGCGGUUCUGACGUGCAAAUCGAUCGUCAAAUUUGGGUAUAGGGGCGAAAGACUAAUCGAACCAUCUAGUAGCUGGUUCCUGCCGA
RNAcentral lists this ribosomal RNA (908 nucleotides) under Penicillium corylophilum. RNAcentral's name for it is "LSU rRNA". It matches the Rfam family "Eukaryotic large subunit ribosomal RNA", at positions 38 to 964 of the family's 3401-position model. Lineage: Eukaryota; Fungi; Ascomycota; Eurotiomycetes; Eurotiales; Aspergillaceae. The record is from RNAcentral.